UACGGAAGGCAGCAGUGGGGAAUAUUGCACAAUGGGCGCAAGCCUGAUGUAGCCAUGCCGCGUGUAUGAAGAAGGCCUUCGGGUUGUAAAGUACUUUCAGUCGUGAGGAAGGUGUUAAGGUUAAUAACCUUAGCAAUUGACGUUAGCGACAGAAGAAGCACCGGCUAACUCCGUGCCAGCAGCCGCGGUAAUACGGAGGGUGCGAGCGUUAAUCGGAAUUACUGGGCGUAAAGGGCACGCAGGCGGUUAAUUAAGUUGGAUGUGAAAUCCCCGGGCUUAACCUGGGAAUGGCAUUCAAGACUGGUUAGCUAGAGUCUUGUAGAGGGGGUAGAAUUCCAUGUGUAGCGGUGAAAUGCGUAGAGAUGUGGAGGAAUACCGGUGGCGAAGGCGGCCCCCUGGACAAAGACUGACGCUCAUGUGCGAAAGCGUGGGGAGCAAACGAGGGAUUUAGAUACC
Molecule: ribosomal RNA, 456 nt
Filed under: uncultured bacterium
Lineage: Bacteria
Description: bacterial SSU rRNA
Rfam family: Bacterial small subunit ribosomal RNA
Source: RNAcentral